Molecule: long non-coding RNA, 1689 nt
Filed under: Sus scrofa (pig)
Lineage: Eukaryota; Metazoa; Chordata; Mammalia; Artiodactyla; Suidae
Description: lncRNA (ENSSSCG00015053546.1)
Source: RNAcentral
UGUGAAAACAGGUAUAAAGUUUAUUGCUAGAAACACUACAACAUGUGGGAGAGCACGCAGAGGAGUAGUUUAUUUAUCUAAAGCAGAAGCAAAGCAGAAAUGCACACCCAAAGGAGGCGUGAGGGUGCAGGCAUCCCCCUGAAGCGAGCCAGAGAGCUGACUUAAAUCACUUAGAUGGGACAGUUCUUCCGGGUCUUUGUUUUCCUUUGGCCAAGGAUCCUGUUUUAUUUCGCACACCUACUGGACCCAGGCCCCUCCCCAGUCUGCGUGUGCACCUUCUGGCCAAGAUGGAUUCCAGAGCAAAGGGUUCUGGGAUGGUGUCAGGACUUCUUAUGGCCUGACGCCCCCUCCCUCUUUGACCCUGAGGGGGUCUUUCUGUGCAGGUGGAGUUGGGGAGGGCUCCUGGACGCAGGGGUGAUUGAAGGGUCAUCUUAUCUUUUUAUUCCAACAGAGCUCAGCUCCCGUCAUUAACUUUCUCCUUGACGUGUCAAGGAGAAACAAGGCCCAGUUUACUCCGCCUAACAAGUCCCAGCUGGUUUCUUCCCCCCCCGCUCCUGCUUUUUAGGGCUGCACCUGUGGCUUAUGGAGGUUCCCAGGCUAGGGGUCGAAUCAGAGCUGCAGCUGCCAGCCUCCACCACAGCCACAGCGACGCCAGAUCUGCAACCCACUGAGCAAGACCAGGGAUCGAACCCAAGUCUUCAUGGUCACUAGGUGGGUUGUUUCCGCUGUGCCACAACGGGAACCCCCAAGCCCCAGCUGUUGUCAGCCCAGGGGCCCAUCCAUCUUCUACCUCAAGUUGAAGGGACACAGGAUGGAGAAGACAGCACGCAGGGAACAGAGAACGUGCCAUGUGCUGGGGAAAGGCUGCCAUUCCUGGAGACAGACCACCGUGCGCUAUCCUUCAUACCCUGGAUGGAUGGAACCUGGGGCGGGUGACGCGGGGCAGGGAGCAGAAGCAGGGGCGCCUGCUCCUGCCCAGAGGUUUACAAGGUGUUUCGUUGACCCUGCACGUCUUGGCCACCUGCGUUUUCCUGUAAGCCCAAGGCAUUCCUCAUAUUCCCUCAACUCGCUUCUACACAGAAGUAAUUCGAUAUUUAUAUGUUUACCUUCCCUUUGAAAAAAACUUAACAGCAGUGUGAUGAAUUCCACAGCAGGGGUGGUUGUUAGUUUAUUGUGUGUCACAAGCCUCUAAAUGAGCCGGUGGGGUGAGCAGGCCUUGGAGACAUGGCUGCAGAGGAAUGAGACUGGUUCCACCUGUCCCCCGGGCGGGGGGUGGCUGCCUCCUUCCCGCUGCCCAGCCAGUGCGCAUGUGCACACGGGCCCUCACGCUGGACCAGGGGAGCCCCGGAGGUCCAGGUAUCCUGGCUCUGCUGCCAAGGGGGCCAGCCUGACUUGGGUUAUUUGACUGCAUAGAUCCGGCUACAGACCAGAGGAUAAUUAGAUCUUUCCCCCAGACAAGCUGAGGUUUCUGCGUGAAGGGGGAAUUCCUCCCAACCCUUCACAGCCUGUGGGCUGGAGGGACGGGUAACUCUCAGGAAGGUGGCGGGGUCAUUCUGUUUCCCUGCCCAGUAAGGGCUGAGUCUCCCCGGGCCCAGCCCAGCUGGACAAACCAAUGGAUUGACCUGCCUGCCAGAUUCCCGUGCUGUUCCCCGCGAGGGCUCUGGGUCCACCCACCUCCCAAUUCCUUCC